This 279-nucleotide unclassified non-coding RNA is filed under the name plant metagenome. RNAcentral describes it as "partial contains small subunit ribosomal RNA, internal transcribed spacer 1, and 5.8S ribosomal RNA". The record is from RNAcentral.
UUUCCGUAGGUGAACCUGCGGAAGGAUCAUUAUUGAAUAACCGAGGUUCGGGGUCUGUCUCUGACCCUAUAUUUCGUGCACGCCCGAGUGCUCUCACGCCCCGCCAUCUCACCCCUGUCUCCACCCCGGCGGGGCUCCCCCGGGGGCUUGUUCGGCGGGGGGCUUACGUUUUCUCACUACCUUAUAAUACUGUGUAGUAUGUAUAUUUUAUUUUUUCGAUCACGCAACCAUUACAACUUCCAACAACGGAUCGCUUGCCUCUCUCAUCGCUGAAGACCC